CUACGGUGAAUACGUUCCCGGACCUUGUACACACCGCCCGUCAAGCCAUGGAGGCCGGGGGGACCUGAAGUCGGUAACCGCAAGGAGCCGCCUAGGGUAAGACCGGUAACUGGGGCU
RNAcentral lists this ribosomal RNA (117 nucleotides) under uncultured bacterium. RNAcentral's name for it is "partial 16S ribosomal RNA". It matches the Rfam family "Bacterial small subunit ribosomal RNA", at positions 1357 to 1482 of the family's 1533-position model. The record is from RNAcentral.